GGUAAAAUGGCUGAGUGCUAAGCGGUGGAUUGUAGCCCCACGAACAGAGGUUUAAAUCCUCUUUUUACCA
This 70-nucleotide transfer RNA is filed under the name Eleotris klunzingerii. RNAcentral describes it as "tRNA-Tyr". It matches the Rfam family "tRNA". From Rfam's summary of the family: Transfer RNA (tRNA) molecules are approximately 80 nucleotides in length. Lineage: Eukaryota; Metazoa; Chordata; Actinopteri; Gobiiformes; Eleotridae. The record is from RNAcentral.